AAGAACCAGACAGUCAGCAGCGACUAAGAAGCUAAAUGCUCGGCUUGUGUUCAGCCCAGAGGGCCUCAACGCUGUUUUCAGUUCCAGUCCAAACAAUUUGUACACCUGUUGAGGAGAAAAUAAAAUAUGACAGCAGCACAAAGUCCAGAGGAUUUAAGCGAUUUACACUGAGGCCUUAAAUCUGAGCAGAAAAGGCCAGGGUACUUAACAAGUCCUUCUCAGGGCCCUGUGUUCUCAUGGAGUGCGAGCAUGCAGAGACAUUUAGGCUCUGACCGGUAUUCUGAGCGGGCUGAACAUACACUCUAGAAUACCUUUGAUGUUGCCAUAAUUGUGUGUGUGAUCCUUAAUCACAGAUGUCAUCCAAUUUUAUUAAAUCUAAUGUAGAUAAAACC
This 392-nucleotide long non-coding RNA is filed under the name Mus caroli (Ryukyu mouse). RNAcentral's name for it is "predicted gene 29327 (MGP_CAROLIEiJ_G0006545.1)". Lineage: Eukaryota; Metazoa; Chordata; Mammalia; Rodentia; Muridae. The record is from RNAcentral.